Molecule: small nucleolar RNA, 132 nt
Filed under: Tursiops truncatus (common bottlenose dolphin)
Lineage: Eukaryota; Metazoa; Chordata; Mammalia; Artiodactyla; Delphinidae
Source: RNAcentral
GGUGCACAUCGUUAGGGCUUAGAGUUGAGGCCACUGGUUUGACCAAUGAACUCACAGUGUAGUUGUGUGCUGCAUGAGUGGCAAGGGUGUCUGGCUCAGUGAGUGAGUUUGAUAGUAAUCCUUGCUGCAAGU